AACUAAACAGGAUUCCCUUAGUAAUGGCGAAUGAACAGGGAUGAGCUCAGCAUGGAAAUCGGGGUCUCCCGACCUUGAAUUGUAGUCUGUAGAUGUACUGCCAACGGAGGCGCAGAUGUAAGCCUCUUGGAAAAGAGCAUCAACGAGGGUGAGAGUCCCGUUUGUCAUCUGCAGUCCCCCGUGCACGGUGUGCCUUCUAAGAGUCACGUUCCUCGGGAUUGGAGCGCAAAGUGGGUGGUAAAUUUCAUCUAAAGCUAAAUAUUGGUUCGAGACCGAUAGCAAACAAGUACCAUGAGGGAAAGGUGAAAAGGACUUUGAAAAGAGAGUUAAAAGUGCCUGAAAUUGCUGAAAGGGAAGCGAAUGGAACCAGUGUUCUUGAUGAGAUUGUUGCGUACUCUGGUGAUUGCUGGGUGUUCCACCGCAAGGGGGGCAUCUAGUUUUGAGCUAGAUGUGCGUGGUGUUUCUUGUCUUGUGUGUCACCGUCGGUGCACGAGCGAGUAAACCUCCAGGGGGCUGGUAACUCGACCACGGUUGAGUGAAUACCUUUGGCAGUACUCAUUUGUGUAUCGAUCCCUGCGUGUCUGGUUGCAGUGUUUGGGUCGCCUGGAAACUCCUGAAGGGCUUGUCCUCGAAGGAGUCCUUUUGGGCGCCCUGAGCAUCUCCCUGACACAAAGACGAUGACU
RNAcentral lists this ribosomal RNA (683 nucleotides) under Azadinium spinosum. RNAcentral's name for it is "partial large subunit ribosomal RNA". It matches the Rfam family "Eukaryotic large subunit ribosomal RNA", at positions 63 to 631 of the family's 3401-position model. The record is from RNAcentral. Lineage: Eukaryota; Dinophyceae; Gonyaulacales; Amphidomataceae.